This 451-nucleotide ribosomal RNA is filed under the name uncultured bacterium. RNAcentral describes it as "partial 16S ribosomal RNA". It matches the Rfam family "Bacterial small subunit ribosomal RNA", at positions 29 to 523 of the family's 1533-position model. The record is from RNAcentral.
AACGAACGCUGGCGGCAGGCUUAACACAUGCAAGUCGAACGGGUGCAGCAAUGCAUCAGUGGCAGACGGGUGAGUAACACGUGGGAACCUUCCUAGGGGUACGGAACAACUCAGGGAAACUUGAGCUAAUACCGUAUACGUCCGUGAGGAGAAAGAUUUAUCGCCCUUAGACGGGCCCGCGUCGGAUUAGCUAGUUGGUGGGGUAACGGCCUACCAAGGCGACGAUCCGUAGCUGAUCUUAGAGGAUGAUCAGCCACACUGGGACUGAGACACGGCCCAGACGCCUACGGGAGGCAGCAGUGGGGAAUCUUGGACAAUGGGCGCAAGCUUGAUCCAGCCAUGCCGCGUGAGUGAAGAAGGUCUUCGGAUUGUAAAGCUCUUUUGCCAGGGACGAUAAUGACGGUACCUGGAGAAUAAGCCCCGGCAAACUUCGUGCCAGCCGCCGCAGUAA